UGAAACUCCCAGAAUUGUUAGGAAGCCACCAAAGAGAGGAACAACAUAAGCUAGGUCGUCGUUAAACGUAGCAUCAGGUUUAAGAAAGAAGCCACUCAUCAAGGCUAUUGUUCCAAACGUUGUGACACAUAAAAGUACAGAACUUAUAUAGCCCCAAGGAGUGCUCAGCCUGGUCGACUCAAACUGGAGAUCAAUUUCCGCUUUUGGUUGUACCAUGCAAACCUUAAAGACAUAUAGGUAGGUAGUCAGAAUACUUCAAACUUUAGUUGCUACAGGGGAAAUCUAAAACUAAGUCGACAAUUGCUUUUCACUGCAAUUGUGUUUGGAGUUAUUUUGCUAAUAGGAUAUUAACAUAGACCUUAAAAUGGACUAUUAAUUAAGUCUUUAACAAAUUUCAACUUUUAUCAGUUAUAUCAUCUUGUAUAGUAAUGUGAUCUUGUGUAACAUAAAUGAGAUCCAAAUUUCUGAGUCUAGUUAUUUAUGUUCUAUGUACAGUAUGCAACCAAAACCUAUUGCAAUCCUAAAGAUGACAUUAUCAUUUUCUGGAUAUACCUGUUUGGUAACGUCAUCAGUUUUUUCCUCCAUAAGCCAGAUUACAACCUCCCUCCCAGCAGCUUCAGAUAGCUUUUGCUCCAGCACUGGAAUAACUUCUUCAACAGGUUUCCUUAGAUUUCCGAUAAAAAUCCCUCCAUCACCAAAUCUCCUCACAUCCCUAGCGAAAAAUGUAUUGAAUCCAAAACAAUCCUUUAACUGCUUUUCUAGUAGUGAUAUAUAAAAUCAGCUGGCACACAAGCAUACAAUAUCCUAAAAUUUUAGUAUUAUUUAGAUAAUGAAGUAUUGAUGAAAAUCUUCUUAAUAUUUUAUAUCUUAAAUUUGUAUUACUUUUGUAAACAUAUUUUCCGUAAUCUAAUUUGUUCUUAUCUUGAUUGCAUACUUUUUAUUUAGCUAAACUUGCAAUUUCAUGUGUUUUAUUAAAAAAUAUCUUUUCAACAUUUUUUUUACUCUUGUUGAUUUUAACUUGAUUGUAAAAGAUGUCACUUAUCCAAAUGGUAUAUCUUAUUCGAAUUUAUGUUACAACUUAUUUAGAUGAUAUAUCUCAUUCGAAUUUCAGAUACAACUUAUUUAAAUGAUAUAUCUCAGUCGAAUAUGUGGUAUAAAAUUCACCCACUCACUUUUUGUAACUAAUCGGUUCAAUGUCUUUUUUUAUAAAGAAAGGUUCAAUGUUUUUUUAUUAUUAAUUAUCUUCCAUUUUUUCUUGAACUAUAUAUUGGAUUUCAAUUUAAUUGAUGAUAAAUGUAAAUUAUCUAAUAAAAUAGUUCAAUUAGUUGUUCACUUUACGAGUUUAAUUGCAUACACAGUUUCAUUCCUUUUAGUUAUUUAUAUAAUGUUCGUUUUGUUCAUGUGUUUUUUCAUUUAAAUUUUAUUUUAUAUUGAUUUAGUUAAUAAAAAAUGAAAAUAUUUAAAUAUAAAAUUAUAUUUAAUUUUUUUUUUGAUAUAUAAAUAAAAUUGAGUAGUCACUUGUACACUCUUUGGUUAUAUACAAUAUUUUCUAUUAAUAGUAAAUAUUUUUCAAUUUAACCAAUAUAAUUUAUAAAUUUUUGGAAAUGGAUAAAUUUCAUUUUUUCAACUAAAUGGAGAUUUAUUAGAUUUAAGAAAAAAUGAUAUACGUAGUAAUAAGAACAAAAGUGAACUAAUUAGUUAUAAAAAGUGAGUGCAUAACUUUAUUUUGUACAAAAAAUUUUAAUGAGAUAUACCAUUGUAAAUAAGUUGCAUGAGAAAUUCCAAUGACCUGUAGGGACCCUACAUUAUCCAAAGAUACUGACAAGAAAAAGUAAUGAUGAAAAUAUACCAAAAAGGAAUAAAAAUUUACUAUGUUGUAUAUGUUCCAGCUGGUUUAUACCGCUCUUUUGAAUAUAAAUAAAGAGUUAUGCCCAUGACAAUACAUAAUUUGAGUCUUUUCUUCAUUCUCAUCUAAAUCAUGUCUGAGAACUGUGAUUUUCCACCCCAUUCUAACGCUUUCUGUCAAUGUCCGCCAGAUAAAGAUAGAGCCUCAUCUGAACCACGUUUGCUGCCUCUAUUUCCGGUAGAGGUGCCAGAUGCCCAUCAUUCUGGUUCUACUACUUCCCCUCUUAGUCUGCCUCAAUCACCCCAAGAAACAAUUCCAUCACAAUUGUUGUCACCUCCAAUCCCAAGGGAACCUUUUUGUGGAAGUGUGUGUCUUAUUGGAAAGAGCCAACAUAUGGAAGAUGCCAUCUCUAUUAUUCCCCAGAUAUUAGGGUCACUAAUACCUUCUGCACCAUAUCAUCUGCAUUUUUACGGUGUUUUUGACGGACAUGGGGGAAGUCUUGUAAGAACAUUAUAUUGAUAUCUCAGAUUAGUUAUUUAAAUAUUCAAUACACACACAUAUCAUGAAAUAGGAAUUUUGCCUUCAAAAGAAAAGCUUUAAGAAAUUAGAAUUUUUUCCUGUACAUGUCUAAUUAGCUUAUACAUUUUGGUACACAGGUUUCAGGUUUUUGUCAGGCUCAAAUGCAUCAAAUGGUGCUAGAAGUACUUCUGACACGAACAUCUGAAAUACAGGGAAUAGCAACUGCGUCCGUAGAAUGGUGGGACAUACUAAUGACGAGGAGCUUUAGAAAUAUGGAUGGGUUGGCUCUUAGGACUUGCCCUUGUGGGGCACUUGGGGUUAACUGUGGAAACCAUUCCACACAAACACAGUCACAAUAUUCUGAGUUUGUCGGAUCAACAGCUGCAGUGGUGCUUCUGUCAGAUAAUCAGAUUAUAGUAGCUAAUUGCGGAGACUCGGGUGUUGUUCUGGCUAACAAUGGAAAUACUGUUCCACUCACCCAUCCUCAUAAGGUAUUGUUAAGAACCCUAUGACUAUGUCAAUAUAUACAUAUAUCAGUUUGGUUUUUCCUUUUGUUUUUGCUGAAUUCUACAUGUAUUAUUCAAAAUAAAUUACUAACAUAAAAUAUUAGGAGUUCCAAAUUAUAAUUAUAUAUACACAUACAUAUAUACAUAUAUACGUGAUAUGUUAUGCCCUUGUGGUGGCAGCCUGACCGUCCGGACGAAUGGGCAAGGAUUGAAGAACUUGGAGGACCAAUAAGUAGAUCUACUGAUGGGAGAGUCAGAAUCGAUGAUCAUUUGCUAACCACCACUCGCGCAAUUGGUAAAUUAUAUAUUCCAUCACUCUCAUUUUUAUUUUUAGGUGUUAAAAAUCAUCUCACAUAUUUAUAUUUUAUAAAUUUCAUAUCAAAUUAAAGUUUAGAAUUUAAACUUUAAUAUGUGAUAAGAAUGGAAAUUGGUUGUUGAGUUUAAACAUUAUUUUUUACUUGAUUAAAAUGUUAAACAUGAGUUAAAGUUGGACAGAAUGAGUAAAGACGGAUUGUCAAAUAUGUGGAUCUAAUUAUGUUAGCUCUUCAUUCUUUUGUACUUUGGGUCUCACUAAAACAAAUAAAAUUUUUAAUUGGCUAUAGAAGAUCAGAUACCAAACUUUGUCUAUGUUAGUAUUUUAAAUAAUUGCAAAUAUUAGAAUAGUCGAUAUAAAACUUUGAUUUAUUGACAUGCUGAAAGCUUAAUUAUAUUACCUAUAAGACAUGAGUAAAUUUUUUCAACAGUAAUUUUUACAAAUGUAUGUUUUCACUAUACAUGAUAUUUAUAUUAUUUAUUAACAAAACUCUACUUUUUCACCAUGUAAAUGACUCGUUGGAUCAUAUUAUGAAAUAUAGAAAUUUAUAAGUCCAAAGUAACCCUACUUUGACUCAAUGGGUGAGAAAACAUCUUAUUGUCUUAUGACAGGAAAUAGGCAUCUAAAAAAGUAUCUCAUUCCGGACCCGGACGUUACCUUGAGAACGAGGGAUUCUAAAGAUGAGUUCUUAAUCAUUGCUAGUGCUGGGUUCUGGGAUGUGGUUUCAACCCACACAGCUUGUCAUGUGGCCAGGGGUUGUUUCCGCCACUCCCAUCCACCUUACUAUGCUAAUGCCGACGAUGCAAAUGGUGAGCCUCAUCAUUUUGACACUUUAGUACCAUCUAUGUCCUUGAUGUAUCCAUCACCAAGUGCAACAGCAGCCGCAAUACUUUCCCGUAUGGCUGGUAUACGAGGAAGUGAAGAUAAUAUAAGCGUUAUUGUUGUUGAUCUCAUGAACAAUAGGUCUUGAGAUCUUUAUGGUUGUGGAGUAAAGGUGAUACAUACUGACUGAGGAGCUUAACAGAGUUAUAUUGCCUUCUGUUAUUACAUUUAAAAUGAUCUUUAUUUGAAGGAGCCGAAUUGAAACAUUCUCUUUAAUUUUGUACCUUGUUACUUAAAAAGUCCUUAUACUCAAGUUUUUUUUAAAUAAAAUAAUUUUCAUUAUGUUUUGUGAAUUGAAAUUUUAAUGUAAGCUCAUGUUCUUUUUACAUAUUGAAUGAUUCUCAGUACUAAUCUAGAGUUUAACCUUUUUUGAUACCUGUUUAGAAUUUAUUGGGAUGUUUAGAAGUUUUAAGUGAUCAUUUCAUCUAAAAAUCUUCAGUUGUUUGUUCUUCAUAUAUUGAAUCAUAUUAUAUUUCAACAUCGAAUCACUCCAAAUCCCAUUAUAUUGUGUUGAAGACGGAAUCAAUCAGUAAUUCAUGUCUGUCCUUAGCUUCCUGUAUAUAAUUUGCAUUUAUCUUGUGGAGAUUUAGUAUUAUUUUUAAUAUCUACUAUGUUACGUCAACGAUUUUCGUAUUAGGUUAUGGAUUUAAUAAGAUUAUAUUGGGUUACGAUUUUUCCACUCUUGGAUCGGACAAGAUAAAUUCUCUCAUCGUAUAGAGUUUGUUUUAAAUUUUUUCUUAGAUAUACUUUUUCUCAAUGAUUUUUGUUGCCCUUCUCAUAUUUAUUAUUUUUUUCCUUCGAGGGAUUGUCCUUUUUGUCUAAUGCUCUAGGCACGUCGGCACUUUGUGAGAUUGUUUUUUACUUUUCGUGCGUUAUAAUGGGAGUGGCCAUAGGUACAUUUAUAGUAUUUCUUUUUUGUCAUGCACUAAAAAGGAGUAGUCGUAGGCACAUCUAUAUUUCUAUCUUUCUUUCUCGGGCGCUGUGAUGGGAUAGCCCUAGGUACAUCUAUAUUCUUUCUUGUUCUUUUGAGUAGUUGAGUUUAUGGGAUUGUGUCUUUAUACCAUUUCUUCUCUUUUUUCACGUACAUUUCUUGGUUUAAAAUUGUCAAUUGGUUUCUUGGUUAUAAUUAGAAUAUCGAUUUGCAUUCUAGUUAUAUUUUGAUUUUAUAUUACAUUGAAUAAGGUUUGAUGAUUUUUGAAUUGGAUAUAAUUUGUUGAUAUGAAUUCUACUAUUCUAGUUUAGUUUUGAUUGAAAUUUGAAUUUGGUUUUGAUUUCUUGGUUGAGUAUAUAUAUUAUAUGAUUUUGAGUAGGUAUUAGAUUUUGACUCAGUUUGUGGAAUUGGAGAUAUUGUUUGGUUUGGUUUUCAUAUUAGAUUUUGACAUUGUUUAUAGUUGGAUUUGGAUUCCGGUUUAGUUUUAAUUUUUGUUAAUUUGGAUUUUGGUGGGGUGUUCUUAGAUUGAAGAUUAAUUUAGAUAUUAAUAUUGUGUUGAUAGAGUAUUGCAUGAUAUGGAUUCUUCUUAUUGUCUUCAUAUUGUGGAUCUUUUGUGAAUUUUAUUGCUCCGUUUUCUAUUUUAAAAACUCUCGAUUCAGCAUCAUAAUUUUUGGGGGAUAUUACCAGAUAUAAUAUUAUUGGUUAGUUGCAUUAUUUUAUAAGUUUCUUUGUAAUAUUAGUCUGGUUUUUCAUUGUUUUGAUGUUGGUUAUAUAAGCCUUUCUCUUAGAUUAUAAUAAAAACACUCUAUUUUUAUAGAGUUUCUCCUUACUUUAUCAAUUUUAAAGACCUAGUUGACUACCAACACUCUUUUCAGAUGAAAACUAUUCUUGCAUUCAAACUAAUUACGCAUGCCUUACACAUUCCAACUCUUGACACUUUGGACCAUGUCAGAGCUCAUCAAGUGUCUUUUCAUCCCCCCAUGCCCAUGCGGCCAUGCCUUAUUGCAAGACUAAGGGGAUAAGAAACAGCCUAUGCCAUCUUCUUCUCAAUCACCGACAAACUCGGCAUCUACAACAACAACAAAGUCAAAUCUAACUCCGCUUUCGAAAGAGCUUAUCAAGAUUGUGAAUUCUCUCAAUUGUUGAAUGGUUUGGUAGUUCCUAUGGGUAACAACUAUUUUCGCUAUAUUAAGAAACUAAACAGAACCAUCCACUAUGUCAAUCCUUCACAACGAUCAAAAAGAUAAAUGGAAUUCAUUGCAGUUCAAAUGAGAUGGUCAUCAAUGUGGAAGCUGGUGAUGCUGAUAAAUGCAUAAAUGUCUCUCUUGAAUUCCUUAAAAAAGAGAAAAUCUUGUUAAACAGACAUCAUAUACUUGUUGCAUUACCUCAAGCAUUCCUGUGAGCCCCCUGGGCAUCCUGCAAUUAAUUGAACCCUGAACUCCCGAAAUGCUCUAACAUGCAUCAUCCUGUGAGUACAAUGUAUCAACUCUAGUGGCCUGAAUCCAAAGACACCAUCUCUGUCCUUGAUGUAUCCAUCACCAAUUGCAACAGCAGCCGCAAUACUUUCCCUUUUGGCUGGUAUACGAGGAAGUGAAGAUAAUAUAAGCGUUAUUGUUGUUGAUCUCAUGAACAAUCAGUCUUGAUAUUCUUUAUGGUUGUGGAGUAAAGGCGCUAAAUGAGAAUCACAAGAGAGUGGCCCAGUACAUGUUGGACGAGGAACUUAAUUGAAUUAUAUUGCCUUGUGUUAUUACAUUUAAAGUGACCUUUUAUUUGAAGCAGCGGUAUAGAAACGUUCUCUUUCAUUUUGUACCUUACUCAAACAGACCUUUCUGAAGUUUUUUUAAAAAGUAAAAUAAUUUGCAUUAUGUUUUUUGGAUUGAAGUUGCAAUCUAAACUUAGCCUUGGCCUUUGAAUAAUGAAAAAUUAAAAUAAUUUGCAUAAUGUUCUUUUCACCCAGAUUAAACAGUUCUAGUGUACUAAUCUACACAGCUUAGCCUUGGCUUUUGGAUACCUUUUUAGGAUUUAAUAAGAUGUUUAGAAAUUUUUAGUGAUCAUUUCAUCUAAAAAUCUUUCAUUAUUAGUUUUUUGUAUAUCGAAUCAUGUUAUAUAUCAAAAUCCAAUCACUUCAAAUCCCAUUAAAUUGUGAUGAAUACCGCAUCAAUUAGUAGUGCUUCAUGUUUGACCCUAGCUUCCCAUAUAUAAUUUGCAUUUAUGUUGUGGGGAUUUAGUCUUUUUUUUAAUAUCUACUAUGUUAAGUUCAAGGUUUUCAUAUUAGGUUAUGGAUUUAAUAAUAUUAUAUUAUCUUUCAACAAUUUUAAUAGAUUAUUAGUUUAUUUCCAUUCUAGUUAAGGUCUUGUACGUUGCGCUAAAAUGUGGUAUAAUUAUCUAGAGCCUUUAAUAUUUUGGAAAAUAUGACGUAGAAUUCUGCGAUCGCAUAUAUAUCAGUCUCGUAAUUAUUUUUAUUAACGAUUCAAUGACAUAAAGUAAAAUAUUUUUCUAAUAAAUUAUGAGCAGAAAGAUUUUACCUAUGUAAUAGGUGAUUCUAUUAUACACACACAUAUAUAUAUAUACACAAAUAUAUACAUACAUACAUGUAUGUAUAUAUAUAUGUAUGUGUGUAUUUAUAUAAUUACUCAAAAAAAUGAUCACGAUUCUACAAAGAUCGAGUGCCUAUUAUUGUUAUAAUAUUUUUCUAUUAAUUUUCGGUAGUAUUUUUAUUAUGGUGAACUAAUUUUAGAACUAUUACUAACAUAUUUUUUUGGCGCUUUGAUAUAAUUAUUAUAUUGGUUCAAAUAAAGAAUCUAAAAUUAUAUUUCUUUAAAAAAUAAAUAUAAUUAGAAAAGAGAGCAAAAGCAUUAGAUUAUCAUCCAUAAAAUAUAUGAGUAAUAUGAGUAAAAUUAGGUUAUAAAGAUGCUAGCAGUAGCUAAUUAGAGUCACCUACGUUCAUAAUCAUAAAGAAAAUUGAGAAAAGAUUUUUAUAAUUGGAUUUUCAAGGUGGAUUAGAGCCAACGAGGGUGCAAAAAUUCAAGAACUGGAUUCUUACCUUGCUUCAGAUUUUUUUGGUAUGUCAUGUAGAUUGUUUGCUAAGAUUUUUCAAGCUAAUUGGAGAUGUUUUUAUACCACAUAUCUUACUACUAAGUACUAGUAAUACACUAAUAGCCACACACCAACAACAAACAGUUCUAUACUCCUGUUCACAAACCAUCCCUGAAAUAAGGAGCACUAAGGAAUGAGCUAGAAAAUGUCCCUCCCCCGUUUGGAAAGAGAGUAAGAAAACAUAUGAGAAAGAGUACGAGCCCCCAAGCAUAUCGAUCAUCUCCCAACGGAGUGAUCUCAUCCUUUGCCGGGAUUUCUUCUCCGCCUCUGAAGAAUGUUGCAAACAGUCCCCAUGCCAAACAGAGGACACUCCCGCUUAGACCACCGAUGCCAAGGAGUAAUGAAGUCGUGAAAGAUAAGACACUGGCUGUGCUUCUUCCGAACAUGGAUUGAGCAAUGCGCCCACCUUCGAGUCUUCCACAUGGCAACAAGUUCAAUGAUGUUACCACCAUUCCUUCACCAAUGAGAUGUAAUUACAAUGAGAGCCUUUUAAUUUUAAAAACAGAGUUGCAUCUAAAUUUUGUAUUCAGUUCUCUAAAGUUCCAGCUGCAAAGGACUGAAAUCUAUGUUCUAUACAGAGAUUUAAUCUGAACCAGUUUGACAUUUCUAAAGCACUGACCUAAGAGUCCAGCAAAAGCAAGUGGAUCAACAGGGACUCCCACACCUUCAACUGCAUAUGGUAAUACGUUCCCUAGGUCAUCGGUGUAUGGGCCUAUUACGAAUUGGAUGAACGAAAGCAAAGGGUUAUUGAAGAAAAAUUGAGGCCUUAUAUACCUGCAGAAGAAUGAGUAUCAGCUUUUAUAGAUGUUCUUCUCUUUUGAACCAUAAAAGGCAGAGUAAAUGGAUUAGGAAACCAUGGAAUAUGGAUGCAUGCCAAUAUCAACAUAAUGGGCAUGUGUUUUAAAAGAUCUAUUAGAGCUCCAUGACAUGGAAGAUGCAUAUAAAUCACAUUUUGUACUAUUAGAGUCAGUUAUAAUAGGAAGGAUCCAUCUACGAAGAGGUAGCUAAGUACUUACAAUGCGUUAUCGCCUCCAUUAAAGCUGCCAUCAGCCACAAAAGCGGCAACUGCAAGUAAUAGGGAUGUUAGAUAUGCACUGGCUGUUCUUGCGACAGGAAUAUCAAAAAGAGCCUUCUUGUUUGGCAGCAAAGACUCGUAAUUAUUCAUCACUCCCAAGCAUCCAGUCCAAUUGGAGGGCACUAAAAAGGACGGGCUCAAUUUAACACCACAACGUGCUGCGGUUAUCCUUGUGGCUAUCUGCAAUAGAUAUAUACACACCAGGCAAUCAAGAAUUUAUCUUCACAGAAAAAGAUUUGAUACCUAAAGUAUUAUACUGCUAACGGGAAAUGUUUGGUUUUCAUUCACUCCCAAUGCCAAAUAUACUUUUUUACAUUCUUGAGAGAGAAAGUUACAAACUCGUCACUGCAUUUGAAGAUAAAAGAUGCGACAAAAAACUUGUUGAUAUUAUCAUCAAAUUGUCUGAGAUAUAUGAAUUUACAGGGUUUAAAAAAGCUAAAUUUAAGCAAAAAGCUUGUAUAUGAACUUUAUAGUUUAACAAUGUCGACUUUGACUCGAUGGUUCUUUACUAGAAAAUUCAUUAAUAAAUAAGUUUGCCCUCACCCUUUUAUACCUUAUGGCAUCUCUGAAGUUAAUUUACUCAUGUUUGCCAAAGCUUACAGGACAGAGCAUAGUAGCAGAUAUUUUACCUCUGAAACUCCCAGAAUUGUUAGGAAGCCACCGAAGAGAGGAACAACAUCAGCUAGGUAGUCGUUGAAUGUAGCAUCAGGUUUAAGAAAGAAGCCACUCAUCAAGGCUAUUGUUCCAAACGUUGUGACACCUAAAAGUACAGAACUUAUAUAGCCCCAAGGAGUGCUCAGCCUGGUCGACUCAAACUGGAGGUCAAUUUCCGCUU
RNAcentral lists this long non-coding RNA (10003 nucleotides) under Daucus carota (carrot). Its description in RNAcentral is "long non-coding RNA (DCAR_LNC004298)". The record is from RNAcentral. Lineage: Eukaryota; Viridiplantae; Streptophyta; Magnoliopsida; Apiales; Apiaceae.